This is a long non-coding RNA of Sapajus apella (tufted capuchin), 196 nucleotides long. RefSeq lists it as uncharacterized. The transcript is spliced from 3 exons. NCBI's taxonomy places the organism in Eukaryota, Metazoa, Chordata, Mammalia, Primates, Cebidae. The record is from RefSeq and is a predicted model, not a curated record.
CUGUGAGCACAGAUAUCUUGGUUAAACUUUCACAGAUAUCUUGGUUAAAGUACAAGGACAUAGAAUGGACUACGUGCCUGUAAGCGUGGCCUGUCUAUCAGCUACAUAGGAUAGCGCUUCACAAAGAAUUACCAGCACACUUAUGAUUUAUUCUUUAACAAGAAAGGAAACUUUAGAGAGGAACUGUUUUACUUCC